Molecule: non-coding RNA, 9505 nt
Organism: Dermacentor andersoni
Lineage: Eukaryota; Metazoa; Arthropoda; Arachnida; Ixodida; Ixodidae
Source: RefSeq, a predicted model, not a curated record
GAUAAGAUUUUUCUGGCCUGAGUGCUGUUGUCAGAGCUCUAUCAAGUGUAGUUUGUUGAAUUUCUAUAUCAAUUCUUGGCUGCAAAAAAAAUAGUAAUCUGAUUUGGUGCACGAGAAUAUUCAACUCUUCCGAUUCUCGAUGGCCGUUCAUGGAGUGUUUCAGUUGUGUUUUACAAGCUACAGUUUAUUAUUUAUUUAGAAUUACCGAAUUUCAAUUUAGGUUGGCGUAGUGGUUAGUUCAUGAAAGUACAUACACGUCCUUUGGGACCAGUGUAGAAAAAGUGUAGCCGAGGUAAGUAUAUUUCCUUAACUUGCGUGCUGACAUAAUUAAAAUGAGGCAUGCAGUACACUAAUUCAACCUGCUUCAUUACUAUAGUCGGAUACAACUUUAGAAAAAAGGGGGCGUUUACUCCCCUGAGGCGGAGGCACACGAGCAUUCAAUGGGCGCGCACUCUGGACUAACGUCAUGAGCCGGACGGCCGGUGACUCUGCCGACGGAGAAGAUGGCCACCCGCGCUUCGAACUGGGCGAGGUCGCGUCAGCUGUGUGCUUCGGCCCCUCGUCAGAGUGAAUUCCAGAACUGUUUGUGAUGGUCUAUCAUGCCAGAAAUAUUACUGCGAGCUUACAAUGCUGCAUUUGUGCCACGUGCGUUUAUUCUGAGCUGUGAUCCGGCGAAGGAACAUUGCAGUGAGCAUCGCUGGCGCUGCGCUACGCUUUGCCUGAAAACAGGAUCCCGCGGCGACCGCUACAAACACACAUCCUGCGUGUUUGUUCCAUGUUGUUUUAUAUUGCUCCUGAGUGAAGUUACGACGAGAAAAGUUUUCCAAAGACUGGUGCCUACUGUUAGCAGCAGGUGUGUUCCUGUACUGUGUCACUGCGAUUUUUGUCGGACGGGGUGGUGAAGUGAUGGAGCAAAACCAUUCUCGGAAGAAAUCAGAAAAGUGUGCGCACAAGAAACAAACCUACAAGUGUCUCAACAAAAAAUAUUUGCAGAAGAAGCCUUCAACGCAAAGAUUUGUAGCCGUCAACUUAGCGUGAACGAUCAUUGUCCGCAGUGAGAUAGCCGAGCGUCUAGUGACGGUGUUCGAGCGUUGUGUAGCACCGUCGAUUGAUUGCUGUACACCAGUGCUCACUGCACGCGCAAGCUGUAGAAUGCGUGCUGUGAAAUGGUGAAAACACAAAACCAAAAAAAUAUCUAAAUUUUAUGCAAUUUAAAACCAAGAGUACUUAUUUAAAACGAUGAAUGGAGCAUUUUUGUACCUUCCGGCCUCGACUGUAUUCUCGCCCCAGGUUUGUAACGGUUGCGAUAAAUGCAUUGUUUUAUAUAAGUACUUUAUUAAUACCAACUGAUUCAUUUUAAGCUUGGAAAAUGAGUAGUAUACACGCCGUGUACAUGUGAACAAGCGCAAAAGCCUUGCGGAGCUGCUCUUUCUACUUUUGUCAGUUGCAAUGAAGCUAAAGAGCAGACGACGGGCAACGUUGUAGAAGGCACGGGGUUAUUUUUUUCUCGCGAUCCGGCAUGUGCUGUAGCACAAGAGAGCUCUACUAAACCAGUCAUCAAAAUACAAAAGUAUUUAUUUAUACCGAGAAUUACGCGUUUCAGGAGCACGAUUUUUCAAGUGGGGCUAUUUUAGUCGCGGAGGCAAUCGGCUGUGGCGCUUCGGUCAUCUGGGCGGGGCCUCCCCUUUUUUCUAAAUUUGUAUCCGACUAUAGUAAAGUGCAAGGAACAGUAUUUAUUACAUUUCACAAGACAAUUUGCUUAAUUGUGCUUGUUUCUUUACUUGCAAAUCAAUGGCUAGGGAAGUGCUAACAUUUGAAAUUUUAGACUAACAAAUAGAAUAUUGCCCUCUUCAACUCAGUCUCACUGUCAAACAGUCGGUAUUCGCAAAUAUGAAUAUUUUUUGCAUAAUUUUGCAAUGCUUCACAUCGUCAACUUGCGUGAUCAAACAUAAACAAGAAUGCAAUUACUUUCAUGCUGGCGAUAACUGAUGCAAAACAUGAGAAGUUACUUAACAGGUGCUGUGCUGCCGAGGGAGUCGAAAUUUCCCACCUAAGUCAUGAUCGUUCGCUCAUAUUUUGAUCAGAUGUGUCAUUCUAUCAACAGGCAUUGUUUACUACUACUUUUGGUUGCAGCACACUAGUGCCCUCUUAAGAAAUAAAUUGGGAUGUAUUGUCACAGCACUAUUUCAUAUAAUAGUGGUCGCGGGUUCAAUUCACGGCCACGGUGGCCCAACCCCAAUCAGCGCAGAAUGGAAAAACACUCAUGUGCUCGGAUUUUCAUGCUCAUUAAGGAAACCUCGGUGGUCUAAGUUAAUCUGGAACUUCCCGAAUGCACAGAUGCCAAACAAGCCCACAAGAUGGCCUUGUUGAACGUCAUACCCUUUAUGCACCAAAAAGCUGUCAGUAUAUAGACUGGUUUUUUUUUUUCUAAUCCUGCAUUUAUGCAUUUGGCCCUCGUAUCGUUCGUUGCUUUGGAAUGUUAAUCCCUGCAACUUAAUUUCAUUUGAUGUAAUAGUCGCACCACCAGGCAUUGGGCAUUCCAGGAUCCCCCCCCCCUUCUUUUCUUGCUCUUGUUGCUGGCUACGUAUUUCCGAGUUAGUCACGACACUUACUCUGUGUAGGUUCACAUUACACAAACAUGUUGAGCAGGCCUGUAGGUCUGUCUCAUUAAACUUCGUUUUGAUAAUGCGUGACCUUUGAAGCUCUGAAAAAAGUAGCAGUAUGCCAAUAAACAAUUUUUUUCUUCAAACGCUGCAGUUGUACUUUAGUAAAGCAUCCUUCCUAACGUGCAGUAUGACAACGAAACCUGUGCUAACAUUGCAAACACUAGAACAUAGUUGUUGCUUUAUACCAAAAUAAAACAAAUAAUUCACUAUUUUAAUACUAUUUGAAAAGUGUUAAGCUUUACUGGUUUGUAGCACUAUUCGAUUCUGCCUCAAAAUGUACUUUUUGCGCACCUAGCUACAGCUGUAUUUUGCCUCAAGCAAUUGCAUAACGAAGCCCGUACAUAUGUAAAUCCUCUGACUGUAUAUGUCCGAAACUCCAUAGUAGUGUGGUGAAAACAUUCCAGCAGUUUUCACUGGUUACAUCGGUAAAUGAGUUCUUCAAUUAGCUUUCUUUAUUUGAAAGAAGUCUCGUGCGAAAGUGUGCGAGAACAUAGAAUUACGGCGUGGGAAGUAAACAUUUUAUUCAGCCAUUUCGCUGGGUAAAUAAAUGGCACAUGUUGUCGUCACCUGCAGAACAUAUACAUCAAACAGCAAAUUUGUGGGAAAAAAAUUGGGAGAAUCCUUAAGCUUCACCCUUAAAGUGUAACGCAAUAGCAUUCAAAGAUCUCCGACUGCUUCUCACACCUCCCGACAACUGCAGCUUAUGUAACCGUAAUGUUUGUCGGGAAACGCUGGCAUCGAAUGCUAUGCACGAAGGCGAGCUUUCUGGUAGAAUUGGCACGCUGUGUGGUAGAGGUGAGUGCCAUCUGGACGCGUUGCAAGAAAAUGGGCGCACCGCUGCAUGGCCUCUGAGAUUGGCCCACGUGCGUGCACCGGCUGGCGCGUGCAAAUCUUGGAGGCCAUGGCUCCUCUAUGAAUGGUAGAAAUGCUGGAAAAAGGGUCUGUGUUUGAAUUUCCACAUAACAGAAUUGUUUUCUCGUAUACUCAAAUUACAAUCCGACGCUAUCCUGUCUGUAGAAUGUGUUUAGAUUGUACAUUAUGAUUUUUCUGAUGCAGGUUACCUUGAGGAAUUCAAUUGGUUCAGUAAUGCCUCUGCGCCACUCAGAUGACCUGCGUGGUUGUGGUUCGGAAUGAUUUUUCGCCAAGCAACGUCCAACGCCAACAUAGGAUUUUUUGUGACACGGGCCCUUAAGGCUAUCGCGUUAGUAAUUCAGGUGAUUGAACUGGAGUGGCACAUUGUCUCCUUAAUUUCAUCACCACCCUUCACAAUUUUAUCCAAGAAAGACGACCGCACCCAAGUAAGAGAAAGAUACCUGUCUGCACAGUACCUUUCCAGUAAAUUCUUGUGAUAUUGUUUUUUACCACACCAUGGGGCCAUUGGCUCUCAUGAAUAAGACAGACAAAAUUACAGUGGAACUCAACAAUUCCUCCUCUUUUCAAGGAUAUAUAAAGCUAGCAAUUAUUUUUUAUCUCUAGCAUAGGCUCCCUUGGUCCCACCCCCUCCUCCGACCUUCCAAUAUUCGAAUCCAGUUCUGCAAAAUCCUCUUUCACCAUGCACGUCUUCAUGGGCUAAAUGCAGAAAGUUUUCUUGGUGCGUAGUCGGCUGCAAAAGUUUACAGGACAUCCAAACAAAUGUUGAAUUUUACUCUGUUAAGGCCUGCCGAUUCUAAUUUAAUGGGACAUUACGUAGGUUGCAAACACUAGUGCAUAUUGAAACUUUGAAUUCAAGGCUAUGUAAUAUAGGCUUCACUAGAUUUCAGUGCUUUUUGAAAUCCCAUGUCCUGUACGUUCUUGUGGCUGACUGUACAUUUUGCGUAUCAUCCCAGUGAUAAACGGUAUUGACAAUAAAGGCGAUAGUUAUGUGCCCGGGCUUCACUCCAACUUUGCUGUUCCUCAGAUUCUUUGUCCCGUAGACUUUCACGGCUGAAUGUACGUUCUUGUGUCUCAUCCAAAACAAAUGUCGACAAUGAAGAUGACAGUUAGUCGUCUUGGCAAGUCUUCCCCUCACCCCCUCCCUUUUUUAACCCUUCAACUCCCAAACAGGCUUCUCUGGAAUUAAGUGAUAUUUCAAAUCCAUGUCCCCUAAACUUUUGCGACUGAUUGUACAUUUUCUGUCUUAUCCAAACAACAAAAGUAUGACAUGAAGGUGAUAGUAAAGUGCCCGGGCUUCCCUAGAAUUCAGUGCUUUCUCAAAUCCUGUGUCACGUAAACAUUUGUGGCCAACUGUACAUUUUGUACCUUAUCCACAUGACAAAAAAGUAUUGACGGUGAAGGCGAUUGUUAUCAGAAGUACUUUCAUAUACCAUUAAAGCUCAUUGAGCUUGUCUCGAAUAUUGACAACUGUCGAUGUUGGUUUUGCUGGAGCACAUCUCGCUACAAAGUGUGUGGCAUUAUUUCUGCAAAAUCUCUCUCAUCCCUGCAUCCUCUUUAUGUCGCAGCUGGUAAAGCCAGCAGCAAGGCCAGGGAAGUUGUGUCUGUAAAGCAGGAACCGACGUCAAGCUCAACACCAUUGCAAAAACUGUGGUGUCGAUGCAAGGUAUGCCCCUACAUUAGCAGCAACAUGUGGCACCUCAAACGCCUUCAGGCUAUCCACGCUCCGGGAGAUAAACGAUUCACCUGCCACCUGUGCCCGAUGACUUUUAAACAAAAGGAGAACAUGGUGAAGCAUGUACGGACACACAAUACGCAGCGCUACCAAGAAGCUUCAGCCAACCAAGCUAACCAAGAAGCCCAAGAAGCUUCAGCCAACAGAAGUGCCUCCCAAAGCAUGCAAGCUGCCACCCGUUUCUCAAGUUAACUCCAUAACUGCGUGAUCGUAUCUGGAAACGAACACCGAACCUUGGCAAGUCUUCCCCUCACCUCCUCCCUUUUUUAACCCUUCAACUCCCAAACUCCCUUGUAAAAAAGUGCGAAAAAUUCACUGUUUCCUUUUUGUUCCAGCAAAUUAUUGCGUCUCAUAUCCCAAUUCGAUAAAGGUAGAGCAUCGCACUCGUAAAUGCGAAGACGUGGGAUCGUUCCCCACCUGCGGCAAGUUGUUUUUUCAUCCACUUUUAUUUCCAUUAAUUUAUGAUUUCGUUAAUUCAUUUAGUAAGUAUAAUUUCCCCUAGUUGUCCUUGGUGUCAUUGUUUGUUGGCUUCUUAUGAUAUACUUAAUAAAAAUUGGGCCCCUCGAUUAACCCCCUUUCUUCUCGUUUAUUCUAUAAAGGUGUUACGCAUACGGUUUAUCGAUUACAGUAAACCCUUGUGGUAGUGAGGUCACUGGGACAGAAAAUUAACUUUGUUACGAGUGCUAUUUCGUUAGAAGCAGAGAAGCUGUAAUAGGGUCAUAGCAAUGUGAGAACGUAAAAAACUUUAAAUAAAGCAAUAUUUCAAAUAAGUUGAGUUUGUUGAAGUGAUUGUUUACUGUAUAUUAAUCCGAAAUAUUAACAAAAGACAUCUGUUCUUAGGGAGACUUUCCCUCGCCACGCGUGACAGGUUCGAGCAUAAUUAUCUGAGCAGAUAACAAAAACAAUCGAAUGCACCCUGAAAUAAUAUGUUGAAGUGCCAAAACUCAAAUGCACGACGUGAAUUAAGUUUAUGGGUACGGCUUGUCUAGCAUUAUUGGUACAGCACCUAGGACAAGUUCAGUUCGUGAUUGGUAGUUAAAUGGUCAAGGAGCAUCGACACAUUUUUUUUUGAAGCUGUAGAGGCUCUACCAGACGAUUACCAUACGUAAAAGCCUAAAAAGCUGACACUUACCAACUGUGAAGGUUGGGAAGUACAAGAUAUUCUAAUUUGAUAUUAAAGUUGUCUGUAAACGUCAGACUUUCCAUCAUCGACAUUAUCGUCAUGACUCAGAGCAAAAUUUGAUGUCAUGUAGCAGUAAGGCUAGGUGUGACGUCGUUGCUUGUGAAAAAUAAAGAAGGGCGCUGUGCGUGGUUCUUUUGAGUGCACUCACAUGUAGCAGCCACAAUGGCUGCAGGAACAAAGCGAGCUAGCGUAUCAUGACGGUGUGAUGCAUCCUCCUCCUAAGUACUGAUACUGAGGCUGGUUUAUGGAAACAAGUAUUACACUGGUAAAUAUUUAGGAGUGCUCUGACAAUUGCCGGUAAUUUUUAGUGUAUACACACUUUGGGCCUUCAUAUAGCGAAAAAAAAAAUUUUCAAUUCGGAAACGUCAUGUCCAUAGCCCUUUAAUCUGCUUCCAAUUCCUUGUUUUGGGCUGUAUGUUGUCAGGAGCUUAACUUCUGUUCCUUUUGUUUUCAGCCUGGAAAAAAAAAUGCAAUGGAGGGCCUGCGACGAUGUCCACCUGCCGUCCCAGCUGGGCUCUGCACGUCUCCAACCCUUGGGACCAUCAGUCAAGUGACGGCGAGGACAACACGAACGUCGUUUUCGAGCUUGGAGGAAUUGCGGCAAGACCGUUUUUUUCGUUGCGAGCUGUGCCAUUACACGAGCUCCAGGUGGUGGCACGUCAAACGCCACCAGUUGACCCACACAGGCGAGAGGCCAUUCAAGUGCCACCUGUGCCCUAUGACCUUUGCUCUGAAGCAGAACUUGGCAAUCCAUUUACCGACGCACACGCACAAGCGGCUCUACGAGUGCACAUUUUGCCUUCGAACCUUCACCAGGCAACAGGGGCUCACGAACCACGAAAUGCGGCACAAGCAUUCAGGAUCAAAUCCAGCAGUUUGAGGCAGGAUCGAGCAGGCGACAUCAAAGAGGAAUCAUUACUGUUAUCAAGGUCAGGUGCCACUAGAAAACUUGUGCUUGCACAAGACAUCGUGUUUUUUGUGUGGAGCACACCAAAAGUUUUCGAGACAACCGGCUGCACCACUUGGACUGAUUGCUCCACCUUUGUAUCCCAAUUGGACUCUGCCAAUAUGAGACCACUCUGAAUUUUCUGACAUGCUAGGAAUGGCAUUUACGAAUUUUCUUGCUUUUUUGAUUUUCGCAUUGGAAUGGCCAAAAACGCUAUGUGUGGGCACGAGGAGACCAUUCAACAAGGUUUAUGUGACUGUCCUCGCUGCAGUGUAUGGAGACGUUUGCUAUUAACUGCAUUAGCUCACAUUAGUCCCUAGACAGGGGCCCAGCUGGCUUCUGCUUACCGUCUUUCCUGUCGUAUGAUGGCCAUUGAAAUCUCUUCCUGUGAACUGAACAGUGCCGCUUUCCAUUGUGUGUGCUCCAUAAUUUCUGUGUUUUUCUUACGUGUAUAUGCCGUGGUUGCCCAUGUAACGUGGUCUGGGGUUGACACGACCUCGCACCAUGAUGGCAUGCGUCUGUAUAUCUUUCUGGAUAAAUUUUAUGAAGAAUGUGCUGGUUGUUAUAAGUAUAGGUUUGCAGCUUUCUCUAAAUAACCUGCUCUUCCUUAAUGAGAUUCUUCUGUGGGGGUGGUAGUCUCGUUCUAUUGAACAUUGCAUUUCUAGUAGCACAAUCAGUUACGACAGUCCCUUCUGUAUUGUUAGCUUCAGGAAUCUCAUGAUCUACUAGCUAGUGUGCUCUCUGCGGCAGUAAGUCACACACCGUGGUGAGCAGUGUUGGGCAGAAAUGAUUGACUUCACAUGCUUGAAACAACCGUGUAUAUAAAGCAUGCCAUUGACAUAGCAGUGCACGAACACUUUGUCAACUGAAAGCUUGCAUUUCGCAACAAGAUGACAUAUAAUCACAAACAUGCUCUCUAACAUAAACAAGAUGAAGUUAUCAUUAGGUGGACUUGGGAACCCUCAGCCAAUGUUUUGACAAAGGGAUCUGGGGAUUUGUCUAAACUUUUUGAAGGCCCUAACAAAGUCAUUUUGCCUAUAAGCCGUCGGGCUACCCAUGUUUACCCUCUAUAGCGGCAUGAUAUCAUAACCAUGGCAGUCCGCACAGAAGCAACUUGUAUCAAAUAAUGAAAGCUCUUUCAGUGCAAAAUACAGUUAAAUGUCAGUAUAACAAACAUAGAUGUAAAGAAUUAUUGAAUAUAAUGAAGGAAUGCUAGAAUUAUUAUAGCUUAUUGCAUGUAAUUAAAAUGCCAGGUGAUCAAUUUUAACUUCUACAGAAUUUUUAAAAAUCACCUGUGGCAGAUGGCAUAAUUCCAGUCCUAGAGCAGAAGUAUUUAAAGAGGCGGGCAUUACUUGCAGGAAAAAUUGAAACACAUAUCCAACUAAUCCACCGAAUUCACUAGUUAAGUUUUCCAUUGAUUAAUUUGCAGCACAUAUUGCAAUUUGCUAAUUAUAGGUGGUUAGUUUCCAAGGCAUAUCCACUUGGAAUUUUCAGAAUGACCCCAGUUUCAAGAUAUUCGUUGCCAAAGUGCGAUGAAAUACAUGGGCAUUCCAGUUAAUAUUGUGCUUCAAUGCAUAAAAGAGCAUUUUCCUAAAAAAAUUAAGUGGAACAGUGCGUACUUAUGCUAGCUUGGUUGUGCGUAUCUCAAAAUGCGUGCUAUGCUAUCUUCAAAAUUAAUGGACAUACCUUGCAAAUUCAACAGCUACAAUUAGUAAAUUGCAAUAUGUGCUGUAAAGUAAUUAAUGAAGUUCAUUCCUAAAUCUUUGCAUGAUAAUUUGUUUCCAUUUCUCAUACAAGUGUAAUGUCCACAUCUGAACAAUCCAGCUCAAGGACUAGAAUUGUGCUAUCUGCUAUAUUUAAAAUUAUGUCAAACUUAAAAGCGACCACACCGUAGAUCUUCUGAUCAUUAUUGGAUAUAUUGAAAUGAUUUUUGUUGUCUGCGACUUUGUUAUUGCGAGGUUUUGGCAGUAUUCUCACUCACUUUUGUUAAUUUACUGACACAUAGCAUCACUUUGAAAGCAGAUUGUGUUUCUGACUUGCCAUUUCAUGGUUGUGGUACUUUUUGUUUCUCAAUCAUUUGCUAAAAAUAAAUCGUAACAAACAGA